UACGAAGGGUGCAAGCGUUAAUCGGAAUUACUGGGCGUAAAGGGUGCGUAGGCGGUUCGUUAAGUCUGUUGUGAAAUCCCCGGGCUCAACCUGGGAAUGGCAAUGGAUACUGGCGGGCUAGAGUGUGUCAGAGGAUGGUGGAAUUCCCGGUGUAGCGGUGAAAUGCGUAGAGAUCGGGAGGAACAUCAGUGGCGAAGGCGGCCAUCUGGGACAACACUGACGCUGAAGCACGAAAGCGUGGGGAG
This 245-nucleotide ribosomal RNA is filed under the name uncultured bacterium. Its description in RNAcentral is "partial 16S ribosomal RNA". It matches the Rfam family "Bacterial small subunit ribosomal RNA", at positions 524 to 768 of the family's 1533-position model. The record is from RNAcentral.